GAUGAAGAACGUAGUGAAAUGCGAUAAGUAGUGUGAAUUGCAGAAUUCAGUGAAUCAUCGAAUCUUUGAACGCACAUUGCGCCCCUUGGUAUUCCAUGGGGCAUGCCUGUUCGAGCGUCAUUUGUACCUUCAAGCUUUGCUUGGUGUUGGGUGUUUGUCUCGCCUUUGCGUGUAGACUCGCCUUAAAAUAAUUGGCAGCCGGCGUAUUGAUUUCGGAGCGCAGUACAUCUCGCGCUUUGCACUCAUAACGACAGCGUCCAAAAGUACAUUUUACACUCUUGACCUCGGAUCAGGUAGGGAUACCCGCUGAACUUAAGCAUAUCAAUAAGCGGAGA
This 335-nucleotide unclassified non-coding RNA is filed under the name soil metagenome. Its description in RNAcentral is "partial contains 5.8S ribosomal RNA, internal transcribed spacer 2, and large subunit ribosomal RNA". The stretch from base 1 to 120 matches the Rfam family "5.8S ribosomal RNA", at positions 35 to 154 of the family's 154-position model. The record is from RNAcentral.